This 467-nucleotide ribosomal RNA is filed under the name uncultured Enterobacteriaceae bacterium. RNAcentral describes it as "bacterial SSU rRNA". It matches the Rfam family "Bacterial small subunit ribosomal RNA", at positions 916 to 1381 of the family's 1533-position model. Lineage: Bacteria; Pseudomonadati; Pseudomonadota; Gammaproteobacteria; Enterobacterales; Enterobacteriaceae. The record is from RNAcentral.
GACGGGGCCCGCACAAGCGGUGGAGCAUGUGGUUUAAUUCGAUGCAACGCGAAGACCUUACCUGGUCUUGACAUCCACGGAAGUUUUCAGAGAUGAGAAUGUGCCUUCGGGAACCGUGAGACAGGUGCUGCAUGGCUGUCGUCAGCUCGUGUUGUGAAAUGUUGGGUUAAGUCCCGCAACGAGCGCAACCCUUAUCCUUUGUUGCCAGCGGUCCGGCCGGGAACUCAAAGGAGACUGCCAGUGAUAAACUGGAGGAAGGUGGGAUGACGUCAAGUCAUCAUGGCCCUUACGACCAGGGCUACACACGUGCUACAAUGGCGCAUACAAAGAGAAGCGACCUCGCGAGAGCAAGCGGACCUCAUAAAGUGCGUCGUAGUCCGGAUUGGGGUCUGCAACUCGACUCCAUGAAGUCGGAAUCGCUAGUAAUCGUGGAUCAGAAUGCCACGGUGAAUACGUUCCCGGGCCUU